GGUUCCUUGAUUAAUAAAAAUGAGGAAUCAGGCCUGCCCAGUGAAAUUUUAACGGCCGCGGUACUCUGACCGUGCAAAGGUAGCAUAAUCAUUUGCCUUAUAAUUGAAGGCUAGUAUGAAUGGUUUGACGUGAGCAGCGCUGUCUACUUUUAUAUUUUCUAUAAAUUAACCUUUAGGUGAAGAGGCCUAAAUUUAAUUAAAGGACAAGAAGACCCUGUCGAGCUUAAAAGCUUAAAAAGAAAUCAUUAUUAACAAAAUUUAUCUCUUUUGUAACUUUUUAGUUGGGGCGACUAAGGAACAAAUAAAGCUUCUUCCACCAAAACAGCCAAUAAGCCAAGAUCCAGUUUACUGAGCAAAAAAAUUAGUUACCGCAGGGAUAACAGCAUAAUCUUCUUUGAGAGACCAAAUCGAAAGGGAGGGUUGUGACCUCGAUGUUGGACUAGAAUAUCCUGAAGAUGCAGACGUCUUUAAGGGUUGGUCUGUUCGACCAUGAAAAUUCU
Molecule: ribosomal RNA, 500 nt
Filed under: Lavigeria sp. UGSB 16253
Lineage: Eukaryota; Metazoa; Mollusca; Gastropoda; Thiaridae
Description: partial large subunit ribosomal RNA
Rfam family: Bacterial large subunit ribosomal RNA
Source: RNAcentral